AUUAGACGCUAGUGCAUAAUUAGUACUAUGCGUAACCAUGUACCAACGCAUAAUGGCUGCCGCUAGAGCAGAAAAAGAAACGCAACGAUGAAUUAACGUCUCUAAGUCCCCUCACAAGUUUGAAACCGCGUUCGUUUGUUGAAACCACGUUCGUUUGUUGAACUGUUUACUUUCGCUUAAUUUUGGAAGGUGAUUGAGCUUAACGUGUAACCUGUGUGUUAUUAUUAACCUAUAAUGUGUAUUAUUAACGUAUAACUUGUGUGUUUAUUAUUAACGAAUAAUGUAUAAACCUGUAUUUCAACGCAAUGUAAUGAUGUAACGCCCAUUCCUGUAUUUAACGCAACGUACCGAUGUAAUAAAGGUAAUAAACCUAUUCACAAAUUGAACGCGUGUUUGACUUAGGGGGACAACGCAACGGGAUUGCUUCUGCAAGUCACUAUAGACUGUAGUUGCCUUCUACAUUUUUAGUUUCAAACUUUCGUGAACCUUUUCGUUGGUUUGUGAAUAUUAAUGUAAACGCGAAAAAAUGGUAAAGCCUACGGAUAGAAACGUUCAUACAUGGCUUGAAGAAAUUCCAUGGAAUGAGGGUGGUUUUUAUGAUACAGGCCCAGAAAUGAGAUCACAGUUAAUAAUCAACGAUGAUCAGGUUUCUAUUUCCUCGUCAAAGAAUUCAGUAAAAUCUAACACAAGUGUACUUGUCGCGAAGGAACAUGCAAAACAGGCCGAGCGCGAGGACAGGGCAGUGUCUAUUACCGAACAUCAACGAUUAAGACAACAAGAGCUAGAUCUACAAACAGAAAGGGAACGUUUAAAGCUACAAACAGAAUUGAAUGUAUCGCGAGCCAGGCAAUGUGCUUUGAAUAAACUCAUAGAAGAGCCAGAUUCUACACAGCAACAAAUUAAAUCUACGUCUGCAUCCACUCCGAGUAAUUUGGUUGAUAGACCUCCUGUUACGACCCCUCCGAAUGAUUUGCAUGACAACCCUCCUUUAGUAAAUGCCUCAAACAGUUCCGUAGAAAACAUUGUUCAGAGACAAAUAGAAUUGGCAGAGCUUAUUCUGAAUCAGCAACGCAGAAAUCUUCUCCCAAGACCUGAAAUUCAUAAAUUUAAUGGUGACCCGCUUCAGUACAGAACUUUUAUUAAACCCUUUGAAAAUAGAAUAGAAAAGUACACGAUUGGUGAUCCAAAUGCGGUUAUAAAAAGUUGCUUACAUAUGGAACCUAAAGUAGGCUAUGCACGGGCAAAACAAUUAUUAGGUCAGAAAUUUGGUGAUAAUUUCAGAAUUACAUCCGCUUACAUGAAUAAACUCUUGAAGUAGCCAGUUAUGAAACCUGAGAACUUAAAUUUACUUCAGAAGUUUUCGCAGCAGCUGUUAUUGUGUUUGAACGCUAUGACUGACAUUGACUAUCUCAAGGAGUUAAAUAAUUCACAAAAUUUACGUGAUCUUAUGGAAAAAUUACCGUUUUCAAUGCGUGAACGAUGGCGUCGUAAAGUGUAUAGUUUACAGUCAGAUGAAUAUACCGCUAAGCUCGCUACCUUUGAGGACUUCGUUAAGUUUGUUAAUUGUGAAGUAGACAUUCUGACAAAUCCAGUGUUUGGUAAAAUAACUGACAAUAAUACUCCGCGAUCUUUUAAUGAAUAUAAACCUAAACAAAGUUUCGCCCCAAAUUUCAGUAGUAACGCAGAAAGAUGGGGGGGGGGGGUGUGCCAAGGGACAUAAUUUAGAUUAUUGCUUUGAAUUUCAGGAGCUGUCGUAUGAAGAACGCCGUGCAUUUGCGAGAGAAAAGCGACUUUGUUUUGGUUGUUUACGUCAAUUUCAUGAUCCUAGUAACUGUGUAAAUAAAAAGACGUGCCGUAAAUGUGGAAAGAGUCACCCCACCGCAUUCCAUUUAGAAUUUUUUUUCCUCCCACAAGAUCUAAUACCCACCCCAUCAAUUCGUUUCGAAGACGCAGCAGUCUGCAAGACGUUCCCCAAGACGUCUCCAUACACGUUGACGGCCAUCAGCUUUAUAAAGAUGAAAGCGACUCUCAUCACUGAUGUGCACACUUUGCCAGUCUACUCUUCUCCAUGUCUGGUGUCUUUGAGCCCAUAUCAAACGCCGCUGAUGGUGAUGAUCCCUGGUGAUAGCUCCAACAUAAGGUCGCCGUGCACGGAGUCCUGCUUCUCUUAGACGACGUCUUACGGUGUUGGCACUUACUGGUCCUUGUCUUCCGACGACUGCUGCACCUGUUCGAGUCCCUGGGCGGAAUCUGUAACGCAGAUGAGUGGCCCGGAUGUAGCGGUCUUGAUCCUGGGUUUUAACGCGUUGUGGACCAGGACGUUGAUAGUCACGUGUUGAUCCAGUAACUCGAACACGUUCCGCCAACCUUACAAUAGUGGACUGAUGACAAUUGAAGUGUCUGGCAAUAGCACGUGUAGACAUGUCAGCCCUGGACAUUCCCAUGGCUUCAUUCCGUUGAUUUUCAGUAAGUCUCGGCAUCUCUAGCUCAAUUCCUUCACACGUCCAACAACAAAUUACGACAGAUUGACGUUUCACAGUUCAUGUACUGCACAUUAAGUUGAAAACAUGCUUUUAAAGGGCUCACACACAAUGCUGCACGUGAAUAUUGGGUUUUUCAUGUGCAUCUCGUGCAAUUUUUUCUUUUCACACGGGCCGAUAUUUUUUGCGUUUGGGAGCAUUGUGUGAAACAAUAGUUCAUAGUAUUGUAUAAUAUUAUACAUACAAAACCACCUAGUAAUAAAAUAUUACGGGAAAAAAGUGCUGCGUUUUCCAUGGCGCUCUGUAUACAAAUAACUAGACCGGUUUUCGAACAGGUUUGAUAGGUCCAAAGCUGCCACUAAUAAUUCAGCCAUAGCAGAACAUCUACAGAACCACCCACAACAUCGAGUUAAAUGGAAUGAGGUCCAUAUACUCACUGCCAACCAACAGAACAAGAAAACCAGGAAGAUCCUAGAAGCUAUAAACAUCAGAAGAUAUUCACCUGAACUUAGUAGGGACUUAGGGCUUUACAUCUCCAGGGCAUAUGAUGAUGUUAUUAAUCUGCAUAAUAUAAUUUAACUGUGGUGGAAGUGGACGUAAAACUCCAGAAACGAACGAACGAACUAAAUGUCCCCCAAGGUGGAAGUGGACAUAAAUCUCCAGAAGCGAACGAACGAACUAAAUGUCAUUGUGCUUGAUAACGAUAAGAGGAUACUUGUCGAAACGUCGUGCUUUUAGA
Patella vulgata (common limpet) is the source of this 3219-nucleotide long non-coding RNA. RefSeq lists it as uncharacterized. The transcript has 3 exons. Lineage: Eukaryota; Metazoa; Mollusca; Gastropoda; Patellidae. The record is from RefSeq and is a predicted model, not a curated record.